GAUGAACGCUGGCGGCGUGCCUAAUACAUGCAAGUCGAGCGAACAGACGAGGAGCUUGCUCCUCUGACGUUAGCGGCGGACGGGUGAGUAACACGUGGAUAACCUACCUAUAAGACUGGGAUAACUUCGGGAAACCGGAGCUAAUACCGGAUAAUAUAUUGAACCGCAUGGUUCAAUAGUGAAAGACGGUUUUGCUGUCACUUAUAGAUGGAUCCGCGCCGCAUUAGCUAGUUGGUAAGGUAACGGCUUACCAAGGCAACGAUGCGUAGCCGACCUGAUAGGGUGAUCGGCCACACUGGAACUGAGACACGGUCCAGACUCCUACGGGAGGCAGCAGUAGGGAAUCUUCCGCAAUGGGCGAAAGCCUGACGGAGCAACGCCGCGUGAGUGAUGAAGGUCUUCGGAUCGUAAAACUCUGUUAUUAGGGAAGAACAAAUGUGUAAGUAACUAUGCACGUCUUGACGGUACCUAAGCAGAAAGCCACGGCUAACUACGU
RNAcentral lists this ribosomal RNA (496 nucleotides) under uncultured bacterium. RNAcentral describes it as "partial 16S ribosomal RNA". It matches the Rfam family "Bacterial small subunit ribosomal RNA", at positions 28 to 506 of the family's 1533-position model. The record is from RNAcentral.